Molecule: non-coding RNA, 129 nt
Organism: Triticum aestivum (bread wheat)
Lineage: Eukaryota; Viridiplantae; Streptophyta; Magnoliopsida; Poales; Poaceae
Source: Rfam
CUGAUACUUCCUCCAUCCGAAAAUACUUAUUAUCAAAAUGUAUAAAAAAGAAUGUUCUAGAACUACGUCUAGAUACAUUCCCUUUUAUUCAUUUUGAUGACAACUAUUCCCAGACAGAGGAAGUAUCUG